Molecule: long non-coding RNA, 505 nt
Organism: Daphnia carinata
Lineage: Eukaryota; Metazoa; Arthropoda; Branchiopoda; Diplostraca; Daphniidae
Exons: 4
Source: RefSeq, a predicted model, not a curated record
GGAAUAUUUCCUGAAUUAAUUCUGAAUGCCUCUUGUAGUGUGGAGAAGAUAGUCAUGUUUACAGGGAAUGUGGUGGAAAGGAGGUGGUGGUGAUGGCGGAAUCGGCAAUCGGAUUUGUCACAAGUGUGGACAAGAGGGGUAGUUUACCAGUGAGUGUCCACAAGCCUGAUGGGGUGGUGGUAGUGGAGUAACAAAUGUCAUGAAGCUGGCCACACCUCGAAAGACUGCAGAAACUAUUCAAUGAAUUGAUUGAAGAUGGAAAGCUGCAUGAACAAUACAUUCUGGAAGCUGUGACAUGCAAUGAAAAGGAACUGAUGAAGGGCAUUGUCUGUGGGGAAGGCUUUAACAAUUGUGGUGAAGUCAUUCUCCUGGUUACAGGAAAAGACCUUAAUACAUAACAUCAUUCGAACAAGCCAGCCUGCGCCCACUACUACUUCAGAAAAUUAAGAAUUCUGGAUACGUAGUCGAUACGAGCGUCGAGAAGAAAGGAUUUUUGCUUAUAUUG